UCUCCAAAUUCCAUUGAUUUCAUUUAUUAUUGAAUUCAUUACUAAUAACUAGAAAUUCCAUUUUAUGUUUAAUUGUCUGGCAUUCUGAUGCGAGAUGCCUUGAUGACGAACGUUUCCGUAAAUAUGUUGCAGAUAUAAAAGAAGAAACUCUCCAGCUGAAAUCAGUUAUUAGAAGCACCGAGAAGAAGAUCAUAACCACUUUGAAAAAUAAAAAGAAUUACAUUCGCAAUCCCAAACUUUUCCGUACCGUUGCCCGUAUUUUUGGAUUUAUUUUAAAUAUUCUUGAAAAAUCGGUAAAUUUAGUCAAAUCUUCGACAAUUUUGUUCGGGUAAAUCGAUUCCUAUUGAAUUCAAACUUUCUAAGGUUUCAUUUUUUACAGAAAAAAUACGAUUUUUUAGGAAUUUGUCCCUUGACACGGUGUGUACGGAAAAGUAAAAAAUGAGACAUUAUUUGGCUGUUGUGUUUAUUUUGGUGGGAGUUUUACAUUUGACUACAGCUAAUCCCAAGAAUUGGAUUACUAAGGGAGCUAAAAUGGCGAUGAGAAGGUGAAUUUAUUCAAAUGAAACUUGAACGUUAAAAAAAGAAUGAAAAACGGCUCCCGAUUUUGGAAUAAAAAUUUGUUUUUCAGUCCUAUCGUUGCUCAAGUUCCUGGUGCCCAAAUCGGUAUAGGUGGUGCAACAGCGUAAGUGAAUCACGAUGUUUUCAUCAGUCCUGGAUGUUCCAAUGACUUAUUCCCUUAACAUACAGUGCAUUGUUAGCAGCGAAAAAAUUCAAAGAGACUGGGGAUUAUAAGAAGGCAAUGAGCGCUGGCGGUGAAUCUAUCCUAGAAAGCGCUAAUGACAUGGCCGACAGUAAUCCUACACUUGGUUUGCUCAGAUCUGGGUCGAAAGUUGCUAUGAAUGUGAGCUCGGGUAAAAAAGGUUUAUCAGCAGCACUUAAAGAUGGUGCCAAUGAACUAGUCGAAUCCAAUCAAACAUUCCAGACGGUUAAAGCCGGGACCAAUCUAGCAAAAGACUUGAGCCAGAAUGGUAUCAAAACGACAGUUUCGGAACAGCAAGUCAAUUGAUAGAAUCGCUUUAAUUUCAAAUAAAUAUAAAGAAGCGAUAAGAUCUUCUAUGUAAUUUUUGCCUAAAAUGAUGUUGUAGUUGAAAUACAGUUGUCGCCACCAACAACUGUAAGUUAAUAACAAUAGCUUUGUGGUGAAUUCAAAAACAGUGUUUGAUUUCUUAAAAAGAAUGAAAAGAUUUGUUUCAAUGUCGUAUGAAUUUCAUAGAAGCACAAGAAAUACUAUAUAAAUUACAAUUGAACCGAAUUAUUUGGCCGAGAAAGAGUUGAAAAUAAUUAUAUCAAUUAUCUGUUAUGCGAUUUCAAAAUAAAUACACUGCUUACGCUAUUCCACACAAACACAUUGCUGAAAUCAUGUUCAUUGAACUAUCAUCGUCGAUCUGGAAUAACUUCUUGUUACCAUCAGCGCGAAUUUUUUUAUUUUAUUUUUUUUUUAUUCUAUUGAACACCGCCAAGCUCUGGCUGAAUAUAAUGUGGGUUUUGAUUAAGGUUUGGCCGGAAAAGAGUGCAAGACUGUUACAUAUUUAGAUUAAUAAACAAUUAGUAGUGAUAACUUUCGAUAACUUUCAGUGCUCGCCUAGGACAGCAAGAGUCGUCGCUCAAUUUAUACCGGUAGAUAAAUUGACGAGAAGUUUUACGUCUGUGAAGGCAGAUCCAUGUUGAUUGCAGAGUGCAUUGAGUUGACAUGGACUGUGAUUUGAAACGUAACUAGAGCAUUUGAUGCUAAUUGAUAAAUAAUUCAAAAUUGACUUCAAAGAUAAGAAUAUUAAGUCGCCAACUCGUGGAUGGCUACAACAAAGCACAAAAUCAAAAUUUACAAUAAAUAAGUGUAAACAUCACAGAUAAGUAUCAUCAUUUCAAUACACAUAAAAGAAUGUA
This is a long non-coding RNA of Sitodiplosis mosellana (orange wheat blossom midge), 1944 nucleotides long. RefSeq lists it as uncharacterized. Lineage: Eukaryota; Metazoa; Arthropoda; Insecta; Diptera; Cecidomyiidae. The record is from RefSeq and is a predicted model, not a curated record. The transcript has 3 exons.